This 129-nucleotide small nucleolar RNA is filed under the name Gavia stellata (red-throated loon). Lineage: Eukaryota; Metazoa; Chordata; Aves; Gaviiformes; Gaviidae. The record is from RNAcentral.
UUGCACUGUUCGUAACCUGUUAACAGUAUCUUUCUGAUAAUGGGUUCCAUUCCAGUGCUACAUGAUACCCCAAGAUAAUAGAAGGCUGGCUGUUUUGUUUGCCUGUCCCCUUUAUUUUGGGGGACAUAA